AAAGAGUGCGUAACAGCUCACUGGUCGAGUGGUUCUGCGCCGACAAUUCAACGGGACUUAAGCCUGGCACCGAAGCUGCGGAUGCAGCCGCUUCUGGCGGCUGCGUGGUAGGGGAGCGUCGUGCGUGCAGCGAAGCGGUCGCGGAAGCGCCCGUGGAGCGCGCACGAGUGCGAAUGUCGGGAUGAGUAACGACCAAGAGGGGUGCGAACCCCCUCCACCGAAAGCCUGAGGGUUCCGCCGCACGGGUGAUCCGCGGCGGGUUAGUCGGGCCUAAGGAUAAGGCGAGUGCCGAAGCCGAUGGACAUCCGGUAGAUAUUCCGGAACCAGUUUUCUUCGUUUGACUGAUGCGGCACCCAGGAGGAUAGGUCCGGCGGCGAGACGAGCGCCGUUCAAGCCGGUAGGGAGCUUUGGGAGGGAAAUCCCCUGAGGCGAUGACCGAGAGGCGAGCACGAGGCCAGUGAGCAAUCACCGGCCGAGCGGAUUGAGUCCACGCUGGCGCGAAACACCGCUAGGGAGAAGUGAAACUGCCCGUACCGCAAACCGACACAG
This 549-nucleotide ribosomal RNA is filed under the name Pycnococcus provasolii. RNAcentral describes it as "partial Bacterial large subunit ribosomal RNA". It matches the Rfam family "Bacterial large subunit ribosomal RNA", at positions 1125 to 1662 of the family's 2925-position model. The record is from RNAcentral. Lineage: Eukaryota; Viridiplantae; Chlorophyta; Pseudoscourfieldiophyceae; Pseudoscourfieldiales; Pycnococcaceae.